AACGAACGCUGGCGGCAGGCUUAACACAUGCAAGUCGAACGCCCCGCAAGGGGAGUGGUAGACGGGUGAGUAACGCGUGGGAAUCUACCCAUCUCUGCGGAAUAGCUCCGGGAAACUGGAAUUAAUACCGCAUACGCCCUACGGGGGAAAGAUUUAUCGGGGAUGGAUGAGCCCGCGGUGGAUUAGCUAGUUGGUGGGGUAAAGGCCUACCAAGGCGACGAGCCAUAGCUGGUCUGAGAGGAGGAUCAGCCACAUUGGGACUGAGACACGGCCCAAACUCCUACGGGAGGCAGCAGUGGGGAAUAUUGGACAAUGGGCGCAAGCCUGAUCCAGCCAUGCCGCGUGAGUGAUGAAGGCCUUAGGGUUGUAAAGCUCUUUCACCGGUGAAGAUAAUGACGGUAACCGGAGAAGAAGCCCCGGCUAACUUCGUGCCAGCCGCCGCAGUAA
This 447-nucleotide ribosomal RNA is filed under the name uncultured bacterium. RNAcentral's name for it is "partial 16S ribosomal RNA". It matches the Rfam family "Bacterial small subunit ribosomal RNA", at positions 29 to 523 of the family's 1533-position model. The record is from RNAcentral.